AACGUCUCAGUUCGGAUUGUAGUCUGCAACUCGACUACAUGAAGCUGGAAUCGCUAGUAAUCGCGAAUCAGAAUGUCGCGGUGAAUACGUUCCCGGGUCUUGUACACACCGCCCGUCACACCAUGGGAGUCGGAUAUGCCCGAAGUCAGUGACCCAACCUUUUGGAGGGAGCUGCCGAAGGUGGAGCCGAUAACUGGGGCGAAGUCGUAACAAGGUAAC
RNAcentral lists this ribosomal RNA (219 nucleotides) under uncultured bacterium. Its description in RNAcentral is "partial 16S ribosomal RNA". It matches the Rfam family "Bacterial small subunit ribosomal RNA", at positions 1282 to 1500 of the family's 1533-position model. The record is from RNAcentral.